Molecule: long non-coding RNA, 1029 nt
Filed under: Cricetulus griseus (Chinese hamster)
Lineage: Eukaryota; Metazoa; Chordata; Mammalia; Rodentia; Cricetidae
Description: lncRNA (ENSCGRG00015040383.1)
Source: RNAcentral
CAGCCUGGUGUGGACUGAGAAGGAUCCAGGACAAAACUCCAGGAAGCUGUCCGCCUACAUACCCAUUGGAUACCAGCAGGAAUCAGAAGCACAAUCCCCUGUAUCCCUCCUCCAGCUGCUGGGCUGGCAGUUCCAGCUGUUUCAGUUCAUAGCGGCCUCAGUACUGUGUGCUGAAAUGAUUGAGAGAUGCUUCACAUGGUGUCCACCUGAUGAAGCAUCGCCCACCCCUAGCUCCUGAAGUGCCCGUGGAACCGGGCACCCACAGAGUCCCCAUCAGUUCUCUGGAAACAGAAAUGAGACAUUACAAGGCUUAGGUUUUCACCAGCUUGAUCCCUUCAGGCUGCUCACUGACCAGCAUCUGACAGAAAUAUAAAAAUUGUGUGUUGCAGGGAUAUGGGUGUGGCCCCAGAAACCAUGCAAGAAGAAGCACUGACUAACGUCAAGGAGUGAUACCUUGCCUAAGGCCAUAGGUUCCUGGUGGAGCCCUUGUCCUCAGUGAUGGGCCAGCUGCACUUCUGAAAAAUGGUGGUGUGUGCUUAUUCCUGUUGCUUUCCCUGCAGAGAUGACCAGGUGGCACCAACUCUCCUUGUUUUCUCCAGUGUCUUACUGUUGCAGGGCCACAUUCUUGUUCAUGGUGUGGCGGGCUUCAAGCUUUUGUGGCCCCUGGAUGUUUGUGAGCUAAAGGAAAAAGCACGUCAAUAGAAAUGCUGUGCGCUGACUCUGGGUUCCUUGCAAAUGAGGCUUGCAGUGCAUUUGCCUAUAUAAAUAAACCUUUCACACCAGGUGAAAAUGCCAUUUACCUUAGUGCAAAUGUGGAGUAUUCAGGUCUUCUUCGGGUCUUCUCCAGUCAUUCUGUGAGGCAUGGUGUCCCCUCACUCUACUACAGUAGGUUGUAGGGAGAGAUCCCAACAUCUAUACCAAAGACCAUGUCCCUUUGGGCGUCGUCACAGGUAUGUAGGAGGGGUAGAAAAGGAUGAGAGAGAGCGCCCCCCCCCUCGGGAUUGGGCCAGCAUUGGGAAGCAUUCUGGG